Long non-coding RNA from Oreochromis aureus, 960 nucleotides. RefSeq lists it as uncharacterized. NCBI's taxonomy places the organism in Eukaryota, Metazoa, Chordata, Actinopteri, Cichliformes, Cichlidae. The record is from RefSeq and is a predicted model, not a curated record. The transcript has 4 exons.
CAAGCCCUCCCCUUUCUGAGGUAAUCCAAUCUUCACAACGACAAAUGGUGGAAAAUCAGAGGCAGCAGAAGUGAGUGCUUCUGUGAAAUCCUGUAUCAGCGAGAAGAUGAAGAUGCUGAAGGAGCAGACAGUCACUGGAUCAUUCCAAGUUUUUGCUGUUUGGAGAGUGCAGAUGUCUGAGGGUCUGGGUGACUGCUUCAGAUUUUGGUGUGAUAUUUGGCCUGUUAGCACUGAAUAUCCAGAUAAAUAGAGGUACACCUUUAAGGCAGAAGAGUUUGCUGGACUUGGAGAAACAUUCUGAAUUUAUGAGCUGAGAACCAAACAGAUCGAGUAACUGACUAAUUAUUCGAAUUUGAUUAACAUCAUAAUUAAUGUUGUUCCAGGACUGUCAUUGAAAGUGACCAGUCACCUUGUUGUGAUCUCAUAGCUUUGCAAAAGACAGCAGUGGACAGCCACUGACUAUAUUCAACUUAUUCUCCUUUGCUCAGAGCUAUAUUUUCAGUAAGAAAAUAUCAGCAAGACUCAUGAGCGAACAACUAUUCCAGUGUCAACAACCUUUAGAGUGUACCCUGCCUCUCGCCCGAUGGCAAUUAAGAUAGGCCCCAGCCCCCUGUGAAUCUACACUGGAUGGUCUGAAGAGGAUGGAUAAAUAGCAACGCCUUGGAUCAUGACCCUGGAUCUGAUGCACUCCCUUCAAAAGUGUAGUAGAUGGACUCAGCUGGCAUCUUUCUUUUUGUCGAUUUUGGAAAUGUUGACGCCAAUACCUCCAUUGAUUUUUGUUUUUUGUUUUAAGAAGGGAUGCGCCACAAAAUAUCUGCUGAAUAUUGGUCCUGUUGAUUAAUAAUGUAUCCAUAAAUAUAAAUAUUUGUGAGUUCCCAAUAUUGAACUUGUGUCAUAUCAGUUUGACACUGCCAAAUUUUUCAGUUUGUUUUACAUUAAAAACUUUUUUCUGCCACUAAA